GCCAGCCCGCUCAGAAACUUAAAGGAAGUUGACGGGGCCCGCACAAGCGGAGGAGCAUGUGGUUAAUUCGAUGAUACGCGAGGAACCUUACCUGGGCUCGAACGUAAGAUGACUGUAGGUGAAAGCUUACAUCUCUUCGGAGCAUUUUACGAGGUGCUGCAUGGUUGUCGUCAGCUCGUGCCGUGAGGUGUCGGGUUAAGUCCCAUAACGAGCGCAACCCCUACCUUUAGUUGCCAUCAGGUAAUGCUGGGGACUCUAAAGGAACUGCCUACGCAAGUAGUGAGGAAGCGGGGAUGACGUCAAAUCAGCACGGCCCUUACGUCCAGGGCUACACACGUGCUACAAUGGCCGAUACAGAGGGCAGCUACCUGGUGACAGGAUGCAAAUCUCCAAAGUCGGUCUCAGUUCGGAUCGGAGUCUGCAACCCGACUCCGUGAAGUUGGAUUCGCUAGUAAUCGCGCAUCAGCCAUGGCGCGGUGAAUACGUUCCCGGGCCUU
Molecule: ribosomal RNA, 497 nt
Filed under: uncultured Sphingobacteriales bacterium
Lineage: Bacteria; Pseudomonadati; Bacteroidota; Sphingobacteriia; Sphingobacteriales
Description: bacterial SSU rRNA
Rfam family: Bacterial small subunit ribosomal RNA
Source: RNAcentral